RNAcentral lists this ribosomal RNA (419 nucleotides) under uncultured bacterium. RNAcentral describes it as "bacterial SSU rRNA". It matches the Rfam family "Bacterial small subunit ribosomal RNA", at positions 355 to 786 of the family's 1533-position model. The record is from RNAcentral.
UGGGGAAGUAUUGGGCAAUGGGCGGAAGCCUGACCCAGCAACGCCGCGUGAAGGAAGAAGGCUUUCGGGUUGUAAACUUCUUUUCUUGGGGACGAAGAAAAGUGACGGUACCCAAGGAAUAAGCCACGGCUAACUACGUGCCAGCAGCCGCGGUAAUACGUAGGUGGCAAGCGUUAUCCGGAUUUAUUGGGUGUAAAGGGCGUGUAGGCGGGACUGCAAGUCAGAUGUGAAAACUAUGGGCUCAACUCAUAGCCUGCAUUUGAAACUGUAGUUCUUGAGUGCUGGAGAGGCAAUCGGAUUCCGUGUGUAGCGGUGAAAUGCGUAGAUAUACGGAGGAACACCAGUGGCGAAGGCGGAUUGCUGGACAGUAACUGACGCUGAGGCGCGAAAGCGUGGGGAGCAAACAGGGAUUAGAUACC